GCCAAACAGCUAGCUCACCCACCAGAAUAAUUAAACAGUAUAAAUAAAAUAAAAUAAGCCAAAUACCAAAAAAUAAACCAUUCUUUUACCUGAGUAUGGGAGACAGAAAAGGUUCAAUUUAAAGCAAUAGAAACAGUACCGCAAGGGAAAGCUGAAAGAGAAAUGAAAUAAUUCAUAUAAGCACCAAAAAGCAAAGACUAAACCUUGUACCUUUUGCAUCAUGAUUUAGCCAGUAAAUACAAGCAAAGAGACCUUUAGUUUGAAACCCCGAAACCAGGUGAGCUACCCCGAGACAGCCUACUAGGGCCAACCCGUCUCUGUGGCAAAAGAGUGGGAAGAUCUCCGGGUAGAAGUGACAGACCUACCGAACCUGGUGAUAGCUGGUUGCCUAAGAAAUGAAUAAAAGUUCAGCCUCGCCACACCUCAAAUUCAAACAAACACAUUAUACCAGAAUAUAAGAGAAAGACACGAGGAGUUAGUAAAGGGGUACAGCCCCUUUUAGCAAAGGAUACAACUUAUCAGGGAAGAUAAAGAUCAUAAUAUAUAAAACAUACUGUUCUAGUGGGCCUAAAAGCAGCCACCUAAGCAGAAAGCGUUAAAGCUCGGACAGAAAAAAGUUUAUUAUUCAGAUAAAAAAUCUCACUCCCCUAAACACUAUUAGACUAACCCAUGCCCACAUGGAAGAAAUUAUGCUAAAAUGAGUAACAAGAAGACCCACUCUUCUCCUAGCACAAGUGUAAGCCAAAUCGGACCAACCAUUGGCAACUAACGAACCCAACCCAAGAGAGCAAUGUGAUUUACAAAAAAAUCAAGAAAAACCCACAAUUCAACAAUCGUUACCCCCACACUGGAGUGCCCCGAUAGGAAAGACUAAAAGAAAAGGAAGGAACUCGGCAAACACAAGCCCCGCCUGUUUACCAAAAACAUCGCCUCCUGCAAUACACCACACAUAGGAGGUCCAGCCUGCCCAGUGACUACAAGUUCAACGGCCGCGGUAUUCUGACCGUGCAAAGGUAGCGCAAUCACUUGUCUCUUAAAUAGAGACCUGUAUGAAUGGCCAAACGAAGGCUUAACUGUCUCCCCUUUCAAGUCAGUGAAAUUGAUCUAUCCGUGCAGAAGCGGGUAUAAUAAUACAAGACGAGAAGACCCUUUGGAGCUUAAGGUACAAAAUUUAACCACGUCAAGCAACUUAAUAAAAAGUAAAAACUUUGUAGGACAUAAAAAUUUACCUUCGGUUGGGGCGACCACGGAGAAAAACAAAACCUCCAAGUGGACUGGGAUAAUUUUCCUAAAACCAAGAGAGACAUCUCUAAGCCACAGAACAUCUGACCAAGCAUGAUCCGGCCAUAAAAGCCGAUCAACGAACCAAGUUACCCUAGGGAUAACAGCGCAAUCCUCUCCCAGAGCCCAUAUCGACGAGGGGGUUUACGACCUCGAUGUUGGAUCAGGACAUCCUAAUGGUGCAGCCGCUAUUAAGGUUCGUUUGUUCAACGAUUAAAGUCCUACGUGAUCUGAGUUCAGACCGGAGUAAUCCAGGUCAGUUUCUAUCUGUAACGCUACUUUUCCUAGUACGAAAGGAUCGGAAAAGAGGGGCCCAUGCUUAAAGUACGCCCCACCCCUAAUUUAUGAAAACAAAUAAAUAAAAUAAAGGGAGGGCCAAAACCCCAGCCGGCCAAAAUAAGGACAC
Molecule: ribosomal RNA, 1687 nt
Filed under: Garra qiaojiensis
Lineage: Eukaryota; Metazoa; Chordata; Actinopteri; Cypriniformes; Cyprinidae
Description: 16S ribosomal RNA
Rfam family: Bacterial large subunit ribosomal RNA
Source: RNAcentral